GUACACGCUGUGACUAGCAUAUCAAUAAGCGGAGGAAAAGAAACUAACAAGGAUUCCCCUAGUAACGGCGAGUGAAGCGGGAAGAGCUCAAAUUUGAAAUCUUAAAGGGUUUCCCUUUACGAAUUGUAGUUUAAAGAAGUGUUUUCUGUUGAGGUUUUGGUAAAAGUUCUUUGGAAUAGGACAUCAUAGAGGGUGAGAAUCCCGUAUUUGACCUUUACUUUCAACUUUGUGAUACACUUUCAAAGAGUCGGAUUGUUUGGGAAUGCAGUCCAAAAUGGGUGGUAAAUUUCAUCUAAAGCUAAAUAUUGGCGAGAGACCGAUAGCGAACAAGUACCGUGAGGGAAAGAUGAAAAGAACUUUGAAAAGAGAGUUAAACAGUACGUGAAAUUGUCAAAAGGGAAGCGUUUGACACCAGUGUUGUUUUUCUGAAAAUCAAUUAAAGAACUGUUUAUGCUAAGUUGUUUAGACUUUAUCAGCUAACUGUUUAGUUUUGAGCUUUUCUUUAAUGCACUUUUCAGUUAACCAAGUCAACAUCAAUUUCUUCUGCUGUAAAAAAGCUUGAGGAAGGUGGCUUGAGAUUCGUCUUAAGUGUUUAUAGCCUCUUGCCUAUGCAGUCGGAGAGAUUGAGGUCUGCAGCGUAGAUCCUUCGGGGCUAAAUGCAUUUGUGCUAAGUCAUAGCAUUUUAUAGACAACUUGUUGACUAUGAUUUGUCUUGUAGCUUACUCGCUUAUGUUAUUUUACCUACGCUUAGGAUGUUGACAGCAGUAUAGACUG
RNAcentral lists this ribosomal RNA (774 nucleotides) under uncultured Neocallimastigales. Its description in RNAcentral is "partial large subunit ribosomal RNA". It matches the Rfam family "Eukaryotic large subunit ribosomal RNA", at positions 22 to 636 of the family's 3401-position model. Lineage: Eukaryota; Fungi; Neocallimastigomycota; Neocallimastigomycetes; Neocallimastigales. The record is from RNAcentral.